CGGCGCGGUCGACCAGCUCGCCCGGCCCUCUCACCCACCGCGCGCAUCGAUCCCUACAUAAACCCUCGCUCGCCAUCGCCGCCAUGGCAUUCUUGAUUCUUGCAUCAACCACCACCAGGCAACUCCGCUCAAUCUACACCUAGCUAGUCGCGAUCAUCAGCAGCACGUCAGGUCGUCGAUGGCCUUUCGGGGAGGGAGACCGGCGUUCACCGCGCUGCUGCUCCUCCCCAUCCUCGCGGCGGCGGCGCGGGGCGCCCCGGCGGGGGGG
Molecule: long non-coding RNA, 268 nt
Filed under: Oryza brachyantha (malo sina)
Lineage: Eukaryota; Viridiplantae; Streptophyta; Magnoliopsida; Poales; Poaceae
Description: long non-coding RNA (OBRA_LNC000050)
Source: RNAcentral